AUGCAGUGGGUCUCAUCUCCCCGCUCAGUUUACUGCAAAGCUUCAACCAAACUAAAUGUGUUAAUGAUAUAUGUAUCUUGUCAAAUUGUUUUUUCAGAUCGUCCACAUUUUAGGCCUAGGAGACAAGAACACCUUUGCACAGGAGAUAGAGAAGCAUAUGGUUGCCGAGUUUUCUGUUCUGGAGCUAAAUCUCACAACAAAUGGACAUGUUUUUGGACCACUCGUGUUUCAUCUCCGAAGGAUGGUUAA
Molecule: ribosomal RNA, 249 nt
Filed under: Triticum aestivum (bread wheat)
Lineage: Eukaryota; Viridiplantae; Streptophyta; Magnoliopsida; Poales; Poaceae
Description: partial small subunit ribosomal RNA
Source: RNAcentral